AUCGAUUGUGAAUAGUUACCUUCAGUGCUGGCCUUGGUGCAUGUGCACGUUGGUGACUUUCAUCCACACACUUGUGCACCUUUGGCCUCAUGCUGGCUUCGGCUGGCAGAGGAUUUUACACACACUAAAAUGUAAUGAUAAACUGUUGUGUGCAUAUGCACUACUAUAUACAACUUUCAACAACGGAUCUCUUGGCUCUCGCAUCGAUGAAGAACACAGCGAAAUGUGAUAAGUAAUGUGAAUUGCAGAAUUCAGUGAAUCAUCGAAUCUUUGAACGCACCUUGCACCCUUUGGUAUUCCAAAGGGUAUGCUCGUUUGAGUGUCAUUGUACUCUCAUACUCUCUGAUCUUAGGAUUGGGAGUGGUGGACUUGGGUGUUGCUGCUUCACUGUGGCUCACCUGAAAUGCAUUAGUGCAACUGUUGACUAACCAUAGUAUGGCAUGAUAAGCAUCUUUGCCAGCACCUCUCCGGAGGGUGGUCAGUCAAGAGCUCUGUGCUUCUAACUGUCUUUGGACAAUGUUGACAACUUGACCUCAAAUCGAGUAGGACUACCCGCUGAACUU
Molecule: small RNA, 563 nt
Filed under: uncultured fungus
Lineage: Eukaryota; Fungi
Description: eukaryotic LSU rRNA
Rfam family: 5.8S ribosomal RNA (bases 172-325)
Source: RNAcentral